This 433-nucleotide ribosomal RNA is filed under the name uncultured bacterium. RNAcentral's name for it is "partial 16S ribosomal RNA". It matches the Rfam family "Bacterial small subunit ribosomal RNA", at positions 29 to 507 of the family's 1533-position model. The record is from RNAcentral.
AACGAACGCUGGCGGCAUGCCUAACACAUGCAAGUCGAACGAGACCUUCGGGUCUAGUGGCGCACGGGUGCGUAACGCGUGGGAACCUUCCCUUAGGUUCGGAAUAACUCCCCGAAAGGGGUGCUAAUACCGGAUCAUGUCUUCGGCCCAAAGAUUUAUCGCCCUUGGAUGGUCCCGCGUUGGAUUAGCUAGUUGGUAGGGUAAAAGCCUCCCAAGGCGACGAUCCAUAGCUGGUCUGAGAGGCUGAUCAGCCACACUGGGACUGAGACACGGCCCAGACUCCUACGGGAGGCAGCAGUGGGGAAUAUUGGACAAUGGGCGAAAGCCUGAUCCAGCAAUGCCGCGUGAGUGAUGAAGGCCUUAGGGUUGUAAAGCGCUUUUACCCGGGAUGAUAAUGACAGUACCGGGAGAAUAAGCUCCGGCUAACUCCGUG